AUUGAACGCUGGCGGCAUGCCUUACACAUGCAAGUCGAACGGCAGCACGGGUUCUUGCACCUGGUGGCGAGUGGCGAACGGGUGAGUAAUACAUCGGAACAUGUCCUGUAGUGGGGGAUAGCCCGGCUAAAGCCGGAUUAAUACCGCAUACGAUCCACGGAUGAAAGCGGGGGACCUUCGUGCCUCGCGCUAUAGGGUUGGCCGAUGGCUGAUUAGCUAGUUGGUGGGGUAAAGGCCUACCAAGGCGACGAUCAGUAGCUGGUCUGAGAGGAAGACCAGCCACACUGGGACUGAGACACGGCACAGACUCCUACGGGAGGCAGCAGUGGGGAAUUUUGGACAAUGGGCGAAAGCCUGAUACAGCAAUGCCGCGUGUGUGAAGAAGGACUUCGGGUUGUAAAGCACUGUUGUCCGGAAAGAAAUACUGGGCUCUAAUACGGUAGGGGGAUGACGGUACCGGAAGAAUAAGCACCGGCUAACUACGUG
Molecule: ribosomal RNA, 486 nt
Filed under: uncultured bacterium
Lineage: Bacteria
Description: partial 16S ribosomal RNA
Rfam family: Bacterial small subunit ribosomal RNA
Source: RNAcentral